GGGUCAGUAGGUUGGUCGUGCCACCGGUACGUACUGGUCUCACUGAUUCCUCCUUCCUGAAGAACCGUAAUGCCAUUAAUUUGGUGUUGCGGGGAAACAGGACUGUUACUUUGAAAAAAUUAGAGUGUUUAAAGCAAGCUAACGCUUGAAUACAUUAGCAUGGAAUAACGAAAUGGGACGAUCGAUCCUAUUUUGUUGGUUUCUAGGAUUGACGUG
RNAcentral lists this ribosomal RNA (216 nucleotides) under Glomeromycotina sp. RNAcentral's name for it is "partial small subunit ribosomal RNA". The stretch from base 40 to 216 matches the Rfam family "Eukaryotic small subunit ribosomal RNA", at positions 686 to 864 of the family's 1831-position model. The record is from RNAcentral. Lineage: Eukaryota; Fungi; Glomeromycota.